AUCCCGGGGAUGUCGCGCGGCCACGCUGAUGCACUGCGGGCGGGCGCAGCGCGAGCCUCCCGAGCCGCCGCCGCGCCGCUCCGGACCCCGGAUUCCGCUUCUCGCCGCCGGCCGCCGGCCCUCCUCGCCGCCUCCUCCGGGCCCCCUCUUUCGGGCGGAAUUCCAAAUGCCGGCGGGCCGCGGCCAGCGCCCCGGAGAGGGGGCAGCGCGCCACCGCGGACAGGCGCGGACCCGGAGGCCGGCAGGACGCGGGGGCUCCACGGGCCUCGCCUCUACCCCGCCUCCCGGAAGAUUCAAUGGGGGCAGAGGCGGUGUUGGUUUGCAAACUGGCCCCUGGACACAGUCGGCAAGGAGAGACCAAGAAAGAAGCAGACCUCUCCAGAUGGGCCAAUGGGGGAGACAAAGACGAGCCAAAUGAUUGUAGCAGUGGAAAACAGAGCGUGUGCACCUGGCCUUGAGGAGAGGGAGCUUGGCAGCUUUAGGAACAUAGCCUUGUUGUUCAGCCUGCAGCAGGACAGCCAGAUCCCCAGGGAGAUUGGAGCGAUUCCCCCUCCCCCCACAGAGAGAUGCAAAGUAAUUCACCCAUCCUGGUGAGAUGUCUUACUGCAAAUUCCAGUAGAUGAUGCAUGAUGGGGGCUUGGUGUUUUCAGCAGUAUAGCACAUUGAUCCAUGGAGAAAACUACAGAAACCAGUCCACACAGAGAAGACUUUUAGGGUUCAGCUGCCCAUUGAUCUGAGCCCCGGAACGGAUAUAACUUGCUGCACAGCCUUUGGAAAGCCAUGUAACAUCUCUGCGCCAUUUCCUUGUUUGUGCUAAAUUAUUGCUGAGGCCUCUUCCUGCACCAGCUUUCUAUGCCACUGCAAUUUGACACAAUCCUUGACCAAAUCAUAAAUACCUUGUUAAUGGGAUAAAAAUGAGUUUGAAUCUGGGAUUCUGGUCAUUAACCCCAUGUCACCUUCUGUGAGAGCGCUACGAUGACAGGGUCAGGUGAAUCCAAAUCACAUGUUAAACAUGCAGGUGUCUGUUCCAUCCUCUCUCCACACCCUACACCUUCACUGAAUCAGAAUCUCUAGGGGUGGGGCUUGGAAGGCUCUCUUUCCUUUAUGAGAUUACAGAGGGCAGAAUGGGGACCCCACCCAAACCAGCCAGGUUCCAGGAGCUCCUCCUAUCUAUCAGGCACGCCAAGCUAUUUUCCAGAGUUUUGCACUUGGCAUUUCCCUUGGCCCGGAAAGGUUUCCCCCAUGGCUGGCUUCUUCUCAUGUGUCACCUGCUCACAGAGGGUCUUGGCUGGCCUCCAUCUCUCCACCCUCCACCCCACUCACUAACCCAUCACUUGUUUCCUUUUCUUCUCAGCACUAGUCACUUUUUGAAAUUCAUCUCCCCUCCUUGUGCAUUAUCUAUUACCCCUACUGGAAUAGGAGGCCCUACUCCACCCACACCCUACCCUCCGGGGGCAGAGACCCUGCCCGGCUUGUUGGAAGCUGGACCCCCACAUGAGAGACCUGGGAGGUGCUCUGUGAUGUAAGAAUUCCCUUAGCCCCAAGGUUGAGGCUGCUUGUCUGAGAUGCAGGAAUGGGGACCCUCUUCCGACCCUGAGAAACCUGAACCUUGUCCUGAAACCAGUUCCCGAGAGUGGCGAGGGGCAUCUCUUACCCCCCAGCCGCAUCCACAGCACUGAGGAAGACCCCAGUGGCACCAGCAGGCGGCCAGGUGCCCGGAGAACCUCAGCUGGGGUAUUUGAUGGAAAAUACUAACUCAGAGGCUGUUGACAAGGUUCUCCUCCCUUCGCGGUCUAGCAAAAAAAUGGGUGCUGGUGGAAGCUGAGGUCAGGUGUGAAUGGAGUAGUGCUUACCUAGCCCACAAAAGGGCCGUUCCAUUUUCACUCCCCCUGACCAAAGACAGCUGACCUUGACAUUUCCCAUACCAGCUUUUCUCUACUUUCCUAAUCUGAUGGGAUAAUGAUGUCAUAAAGAAAUAACUUAAACAGUAGGUGUUUAAUAAAUGCUCGCUGAUGUAAAAUUAGGAAGACAAUCGCAAGAGGACCUCCAAACUCUUCCUUACCCUCAAUCAGUUUUUUGAUAGCCAAAAAUUAGUUUGUAAUAUGAGCACUCACCCCCUUAGUACGGAAUCAAUGGCUUCUUUCUCUUGUUUGCUUUCAAUGAGACACAUAUACCUGUAGCCCCUUAGUCACCUAAGGCUCCAGGUGGGCUCAGGAGGGGCUCCAGGACCACACCCGACCUCUCCAGUCCCUCUGUUUAAAGACACAGAAGUUCCAUCUCGAACAAAGCAGGUGUGCUUCAAAUCUACCCCAUGCGUAAAACGAGGUACCCAGGACCCUGAGGCGCUGGCUCCUGAUUUAAUGUUGUCAUUUCCCUUCUCCGUGGGGCGUGAAAGUCCCCUGACCCCACCGCUCCCUGUCCAACCUUUGUAUUAUGUUUGCCUUCUCUAAAUAUUCUUUUUUGCGUGUGUCCAUCUUUAUGCGCCUUCCUCUUUGAGUCUGCCUCUGCUCCUCUUUCCCCUGGGAUAGAAGUAGGAGAAAGAACCCAUCGCUGUUUUCUCUGUCUCUCACCCCCCCAGGGCCAACUGUUUCACGCAUGAAGACAAAUGAAGUCAAUCAGCUAUAGACAGGCUUUCAACAAAAAUUUUAUGGGCACCACCUUGGCCAUAGGUGAGCUAGUAGCAACAGGAAUGCCAGGGAAAGCCCACCAGUGCCUAAGGGUUAGUCCUGCCCUGAUUCCAAGGGGAACUUCCUCCCAUUACUGGUUAGAACUGCUUCUUUUUUUUCUUUUUUUAAUGUUCAUUUAUUUUUGAGAGAGAGAGCAUGAGCAGAGGCAGGGCAGAGAAGGAGGGAGAGAGAGAGAAUCCUAAGCAGGCUCUGUGCUGUCAGCACAGAGCCCAUGAGGGGCUGGAAAUCACAAGUUGUGAGACCAUGACCUGAGCCAAAACCAAGAGUCAGGUGCUUGACCAACUGAGCCACUCAAGCUCCCCUAGAAAUGAUUCUGAUCUUUGGGAACAAGUGGUUGGUGGAGGUGAUAUUUUAUUCCUACCUAUUCAAUUUGCUUAUUGCAACCUCCUUGAACCCUCAUGAACCCUCCCUCGCCCAUCCACCCACCUUCUUAUAUCAGUCCUCCCUCCCCCCUGCUCCCCUCUCUCUUCACUCAUCCCCACUUCUUCUAAGAAGUGGCUCAGUGUGUAUGGAUUGGAGUGUGCCUCAUCUGUGUACCCCUUUGCGUGGGAUGACUUUUCUGUAUCUCCGGCAUUCAUUUUAAGUCAAUUUACUCCUUUACCUCUGUCAUAAAGCAAUGAGAAAUAAAAUUAAUGAAAUGGGAAUAAGAAAGAGAAAAGGCAGGAUUGAGAAAAAAGGAGCAAGGCAUUGUUGUUAUAAUCACGUUCAUCUUUUUCUUGCAUUUAUACACGUUCGACUAUAAAUUCAUUACAUACAUGUUCACGCAGGCAACCCAGUGGCAGGCACCACAGGGGAAUAAGGAAGUCAUGAAAGGCACAGUCCCUUCUCUCUUGGAGCUUUGUGUCUCCCUGCUGAGGCACUAAUAAUAAUUUGUAUCAAUACCACACUCGACGUCACGUGUCCAGCAGGCUUUAUCUUACAUGAUUUCCAUGAGCAGAAGAGGGGUCGUGGUCUCUGUGGCAUGAAAGACGACACUGAGGCUCUGAGAGUUGGAGGACAUUGAGAAGACAGUAGGAGCAUCUGGGGCUCAUGUCCUGGCUCCCUGACUCCAGAUUUUCUGUCCUUUCCACUCUGCCAUCAUUCUAAGCAAGCAUCCUCUGCGGACAUGUCACAGAGCUAGGACACAGUGAAGCUGGGCAGAGUCUACUGACCGUGACAAGAGGAGCAGGCUCCAGGGAAGAGAAAACCAGUGAGGGCUGGAGAGAGAGAAGAGACAGGCAAGGAACAAUGGACGGGAGGUGGAGGCUGGAAGAAGGUCCAGAACCUGGCCAGGGGGUGAUACCGCGGAGGUCGCUUCAGCCCCUGUGUGUACCCAUGUGUCAUCCAGAAGGCCACUGAAGAGCCACUGGAGGCAGAUUUUCAAGAGCUUUUGUAGAAGGAGUGAGAUGGAGGUGUCUUUUCACUCUCUCUGUGUAUAUAUAAAUAUAAACAUAUACAUAUGUA
This is an RNA transcript of Neofelis nebulosa (Clouded leopard), 4130 nucleotides long. RefSeq lists it as uncharacterized. The record is from RefSeq and is a predicted model, not a curated record. The transcript is spliced from 5 exons. NCBI's taxonomy places the organism in Eukaryota, Metazoa, Chordata, Mammalia, Carnivora, Felidae.